AACUAACAAGGAUUCCCCUAGUAACUGCGAGUGAAGAGGGAAAAGCUCAAAUUUAAAAUCUGGCAGUCUUUGGCUGUCCGAGUUGUAAUCUAGAGAAGUAUUAUCCGCGCUGGACCGUGUACAAGUCUCCUGGAAUGGAGCGUCAUAGAGGGUGAGAAUCCCGUCUUUGACACGGACUGCCAGGGCUUUGUGAUGUGCUCUCGAAGAGUCGAGUUGUUUGGGAAUGCAGCUCAAAAUGGGUGGUAAAUUCCAUCUAAAGCUAAAUAUUGGCGAGAGACCGAUAGCGAACAAGUACCGUGAGGGAAAGAUGAAAAGAACUUUGGAAAGAGAGUUAAACAGUACGUGAAAUUGCUGAAAGGGAAACGCUUGAAGUCAGUCGCGUUGGCCAGGGAUCAACCUUGCUUUUUUGCUUGGCUUACUUUCUGGUUGAUGGGUCAGCAUCAAUUUUGACUGGUGGAAAAAGUUCAAGGGAAUGUGGCAUCUUCGGAUGUGUUAUAGCCUUUGUUCACAUAUAUCAGUUGGGAUUGAGGAACUCAGCACGCCGCAAGGCCGGGUUUUUAACCACGUACGUGCUUAGGAUGCUGGCAUAAUGGCUUUAAUCGACCCGUCUUGAAACACGGACCAAGGAGUCUAACAUGCCUGCGAGUGUUUGGGUGAAAAACCCGAGCGCGUAAUGAAAGUGAAAGUUGAGAUCCCUGUCAUGGGGAGCAUUGACGCCCGGAUCUGACCUUUUGUGACGAUUCUGCGGUAGAGCAUGUAUGUUGGGACCCGAAAGAUGGUGAACUAUGCCUGAAUAGGGUGAAGCCAGAGGAAACUCUGGUGGAGGCUCGUAGCGAUUCUGACGUGCAAAUCGAUCGUCAAAUUUGGGUAUAGGGGCGAAAGACUAAUCGAACCAUC
RNAcentral lists this ribosomal RNA (897 nucleotides) under Laccaria sp. 'macrocystidia'. Its description in RNAcentral is "eukaryotic LSU rRNA". It matches the Rfam family "Eukaryotic large subunit ribosomal RNA", at positions 63 to 944 of the family's 3401-position model. The record is from RNAcentral. Lineage: Eukaryota; Fungi; Basidiomycota; Agaricomycetes; Agaricales; Hydnangiaceae.